This 317-nucleotide ribosomal RNA is filed under the name Apodemus argenteus (small Japanese field mouse). RNAcentral's name for it is "partial 16S ribosomal RNA". It matches the Rfam family "Bacterial large subunit ribosomal RNA", at positions 2099 to 2589 of the family's 2925-position model. Lineage: Eukaryota; Metazoa; Chordata; Mammalia; Rodentia; Muridae. The record is from RNAcentral.
CUUUAAUUGACCAGUUUAAUUAUUAUUACAAUUAACCUAAUGGCUCAUCAACAAUAAUAUAAACUCAAAAUUUCGGUUGGGGUGACCUCGGAGAAAAAUAAAUCCUCCGAAUGAUUAUAACAUAGACAUACAAGUCAAAGUAACUAAUAUAAUCUUAUUGACCCAAAAAUUUUUGAUCAACGGACCAAGUUACCCUAGGGAUAACAGCGCAAUCCUAUUUAAGAGUUCAUAUCGACAAUUAGGGUUUACGACCUCGAUGUUGGAUCAGGACAUCCCAAUGGUGCAGAAGCUAUUAAUGGUUCGUUUGUUCAACGAUU